UGGGCGAGUAAAGCAGCGAUGCGCUUAGGGAUGGGCCUGCGGCGGAUUAGGUAGUUGGUGGGGUAACGGCCUACCAAGCCGAUGAUCCGUAGGGGGCGUGAGAGCGUGGCCCCCCACACUGGCACUGAGACACGGGCCAGACUCCUACGGGAGGCAGCAGUGAGGAAUAUUGCACAAUGGGCGCAAGCCUGAUGCAGCAACGCCGCGUGAGGGACGAAGGCCUUCGGGUUGUAAACCUCUUUUCUGAGGGACGAGGAAGGACGGUACCUCAGGAAUAAGUCUCGGCUAACUACGUGCCAGCAGCCGCGGUAAAACGUAGGAGGCGAGCGUUAUCCGGAUUUACUGGGCGUAAAGCGCGCGCAGGUGGCUUCGUUAGUCGGACAUGAAAGCUCCUGGCUUAACUGGGAGAGGCUGUUCGAUACUGCGGGGCUUGAGGUUGGGAGAGGGACGCGGAAUUCCCGGUGUAGUGGUGGAAUGCGUAGAUAUCGGGAGGAACACCAGUGGCGCAAGCGGCGUCCUGGCCCACACCUGACGCUGAGGUGCGAAAGCGUGGGUAGCAAACAGGAUUAGAUACCCUGGUAGUCCACGCUGUAAACGAUGUCAACUGGGUGUCGGUAGUUUUACACUAUCGGUGCCGAAGCUAACGCG
This 648-nucleotide ribosomal RNA is filed under the name uncultured bacterium. RNAcentral describes it as "bacterial SSU rRNA". It matches the Rfam family "Bacterial small subunit ribosomal RNA", at positions 194 to 859 of the family's 1533-position model. The record is from RNAcentral.